CCUACGGGGUGCAGCAGUGAGGAAUAUUGGUCAAUGGACGAGAGUCUGAACCAGCCAAGUAGCGUGAAGGAUGACUGCCCUAUGGGUUGUAAACUUCUUUUAUAUGGGAAUAAAACGUUCCACGUGUGGGAUUUUGUAUGUACCAUAUGAAUAAGGAUCGGCUAACUCCGUGCCAGCAGCCGCGGUAAUACGGAGGAUCCGAGCGUUAUCCGGAUUUAUUGGGUUUAAAGGGAGCGUAGGUGGAUUGUUAAGUUAGUUGUGAAAGUUUGCGGCUCAACCGUAGAAUUGCAGUUGAAACUGGCAGUCUUGAGUACAGGAGAGGUGGGCGGAAUUCGUGGUGUAGCGGUGAAAUGCUUAGAUAUCACGAAGAACUCCGAUUGCGAAGGCAGUUCACUGGACUGCAACUGACGCUGAGGCUCGAAAGUGUGGGUAUCAAACAGGAUUAGAUACCCUUGUAGUC
Molecule: ribosomal RNA, 460 nt
Filed under: uncultured bacterium
Lineage: Bacteria
Description: partial 16S ribosomal RNA
Rfam family: Bacterial small subunit ribosomal RNA
Source: RNAcentral